ACUCCUACGGGAGGCAGCAGUGGGGAAUCUUAGACGAAAUGGGGAAGCCAUCGAUCUAGCCAUGCCGCGUGAGCGAUGAAGGCCUUAGGGUUGUAAAGCUCUUUCGCUGGGGAAGAUAAUGACGGUGACCCAGUAAAGAAGUCCCGGCUAACUCCGUGCCAGCAGCCGCGGUAAUACGGAGGGGACUAGCGUUGUUCGGAAUUACUGGGCGUAAAGCGCGCGUAGGCGGAUCAGAAAGUUGGGGUGAAAU
Molecule: ribosomal RNA, 250 nt
Filed under: uncultured bacterium
Lineage: Bacteria
Description: partial 16S ribosomal RNA
Rfam family: Bacterial small subunit ribosomal RNA
Source: RNAcentral